Molecule: transfer RNA, 73 nt
Filed under: Chloroflexi bacterium RBG_19FT_COMBO_62_14
Lineage: Bacteria; Bacillati; Chloroflexota
Also listed under: 2 other names
Description: tRNA-Glu
Rfam family: tRNA
About the family: Transfer RNA (tRNA) molecules are approximately 80 nucleotides in length.
Source: RNAcentral
GCCCCCAUCGUCUAGAGGCCCAGGACGCGGCCCUUUCAAGGCCUAAACCGGGGUUCGAAUCCCCGUGGGGGCA